CCCAGACUCCUACGGGAGGCAGCAGUGAGGAAUAUUGGUCAAUGGGCUUACGCCUGAACCAGCCAAGUCGCGUGAGGGAAGACUGCCCUAUGGGUUGUAAACCUCUUUUGUCAGGGAGCAAUUGGCGCUACGUGUAGCGUCAUCGAGAGUACCCGGAGAAAAAGCAUCGGCUAACUCCGUGCCAGCAGCCGCGGUAAUACGGAGGAUGCGAGCGUUAUCCGGAUUUAUUGGGUUUAAAGGGUGCGUAGGCGGGCGGUUAAGUCGGGGGGAAAAGGUGGGGGCGAAACCCCGGCCUGCCGGUGAAACUGGCGGCCUCGAGUGGGCGAGAAGUAUGCGGAAUGCGUGGUGUAGCGGUGAAAUGCAUGGAUAU
RNAcentral lists this ribosomal RNA (370 nucleotides) under uncultured bacterium. Its description in RNAcentral is "bacterial SSU rRNA". It matches the Rfam family "Bacterial small subunit ribosomal RNA", at positions 330 to 697 of the family's 1533-position model. The record is from RNAcentral.